UAUGAAGGUGAAUCCAGUCCAUGUAGUGAACUGUGUGCUGUAUUGAUGAGGAGCUCAGUGAUCAGAGUCCAUGUAGUUUCCAGGAUCAGACUGAAUGCAGUGCUGGAAGCUGCUGUUGACUGUGUGAAUGUGUGUCUGUGCUGCUUGUUGCUGCUGUCAAACUUCAGAUAAGCCGGUAGUGAAGCCCGUGGUGAGCGUGUACCCAGCAGCAUCCAGAGCCCACCAUGAGGGGAAGAGCUCCCUGCUGUGUGUGGCCUCAAACAUGUUUCCUCCUCUGGUCCGCUUCUCCUGGAAAAGACGAAAGGUGAACGAGUCUCUGGAGGAGCAGGCACCUGCUGAGGAGGAGCAGGCACCUGCUGAGGAGGUGCAGCUGGAGCUCAGAGAGUCGGGACGCACCGCCGCCAUCAGAGUGAUUCAUCGGGACGCUCUCUCCACGUAUAAAUACCGCUGCUACGUCCAGCACGAGGGGGGGGAAGUGAAGGCCCAAACAGAACAAGAGGUUCCGGUGGCCUCCUGUCCUCCAGAGAGAGAGCCAGCAGACCUGGCAGCUCUGCAGCAAGCUGACUUGUCCUUCCAGUCUCAGUGCAGGGUGAAGCUGCUCUGGCUGCUGUACACAGUGCUGAUAGUGAAGAGUCUGGUGUACUGCUGUGGACUCCCUCUGCUGUGAAUCCUCAGAAACAAGGGACCGUCCACCGGCUGCACACAUGCUGACUGACUGCUUUCUGCUGGCCUUUUCUCACCAUCAGAUCUCAUCAAUUCAUCUCAGUGAUCACCACUCAGAAAUGUUAUGUUGUGCACAGGUUAGAUAUAGUCUUCAAAAAAAUAUAAACACAUAUAUUUGCAGUUACUGAGUGUAAAUUCUGUGGUAUAGUGUUAUUUUGAUCAUCUAGUUUAUUUCCUCUUGUAGAAAAUGUAACUGAAUUAUUAGCUGUCUGCUAGAUAUUUUAUCAUUUACAAUAUUUUUCUGUUCUCUUUUUAAUACAUUAUGCAGAGUGUGGUAGAAUUCUUUUAGAGUAACUUUCUCAAUAAACUAAAAAAAUCACAGCAUCUGGGUUUUAUAAACAUCCUUGUUUUUAUGGAUUUCGGGUUGGUCUCAUAGCAAAUAGUUAACUUCAUUGGUAAUGUGAGUUGACAGCUACAUGUAAUUUGACUCAGGUUGUAAGCAGCUCACAAUAUACUUUCACACAGCGCCAAGAACAAAUGUACAGGAAGAUAUGAAUAUAAGCACACAGCUAAACAAGGACA
This is a non-coding RNA of Micropterus salmoides (largemouth bass), 1245 nucleotides long. The record is from the annotation of a RefSeq genome assembly. Lineage: Eukaryota; Metazoa; Chordata; Actinopteri; Centrarchiformes; Centrarchidae.